Drosophila obscura is the source of this 662-nucleotide long non-coding RNA. RefSeq lists it as uncharacterized. NCBI's taxonomy places the organism in Eukaryota, Metazoa, Arthropoda, Insecta, Diptera, Drosophilidae. The transcript has 4 exons. The record is from RefSeq and is a predicted model, not a curated record.
AGCGGAAUAAGAAAUUGAGCGCAUGUGAGUGAAAAGUGCAAAAGUGAAAAAUGAAAGCGCAUGUGAAGAAAAACAGUUAAAUGUACCGCAAGGACUAAAGAAAGGAGCGGAAUUAGAAAUCGAGCGCAAGUGAGUGAAAGUGAAAAGUGCAAAAUGAAAGCGCAUGUGAAUAAAAACAGUUAAAUGUACCGCAAGGACUAAGGAAAGGAGCGGAAUAAAAAAUCGAGCGCAAGUGAGUGAAAAAAGAAAAUAAAAUGAGGCGAUAUGGUCACAGAGCAGCAUCUUUAAGCAGCGGAAGGAGAACCGUACCAUUACUGAGAGAGAGUUAAGAGCGGAGGAGGAGCAUAUGUAAAAUGCAAGACCCCCAGAGCGGAUGAUCAUAGCUCUUUUUGAUUUUGUCUCGGGAAGAGAAGACCGAAAGAUAUAACCAUCAACUUCAAGAGAAAGAAUAUGCUGAAAGAUAUCUAUCCAUGGAUCGAAAGUCUAAAAAGCAAAGUUUAAGCAGAUGAAACUUAUAAAAGAAAUGGGGAGAAAGACGACGACAAACGAUAGAGAAACAAACGGUAGAGAGGCCUCUCCAGUUUACAGUUUGCAUCCAUUGCUUUGGCUUAAUUAUCUAUUUAUGAUGUCCGCUGGCGUCUGCCUGCCAGCUAUACAUAUAU